This 1514-nucleotide ribosomal RNA is filed under the name Enterococcus raffinosus ATCC 49464. RNAcentral's name for it is "bacterial LSU rRNA". It matches the Rfam family "Bacterial large subunit ribosomal RNA", at positions 1406 to 2925 of the family's 2925-position model. Lineage: Bacteria; Bacillati; Bacillota; Bacilli; Lactobacillales; Enterococcaceae. The record is from RNAcentral.
AAGGCGUAGGCGAUGGAUAACAGGUUGAUAUUCCUGUACCCGUUGUUUUUGUUUGAGCAAUGGAGGGACGCAGGAGGCUAAGGAAUCAGACGAUUGGAAAUGUCUGUCCAAGCAAUAAGUCUUGAUGUGAGUCAAAUGCUUACGUCUUUAAGGACAAGUUGUGAUGGGGAGGGAAAUAAUAGUACCGAAGUUCCUGAUGUCACACUGCCGAGAAAAGCUUCUAGUGAGAAAACAAUGGCCCGUACCGCAAACCGACACAGGUAGUCGAGGAGAGAAUCCUAAGGUGAGCGAGAGAACUCUCGUUAAGGAACUCGGCAAAAUGACCCCGUAACUUCGGGAGAAGGGGUGCUGAUCUAACGAUCAGCCGCAGUGAAUAGGCCCAAGCGACUGUUUAUCAAAAACACAGGUCUCUGCAAAAUCGAAAGAUGACGUAUAGGGGCUGACGCCUGCCCGGUGCUGGAAGGUUAAGAGGAGUGCUUAGCGUAAGCGAAGGUACGAAUUGAAGCCCCAGUAAACGGCGGCCGUAACUAUAACGGUCCUAAGGUAGCGAAAUUCCUUGUCGGGUAAGUUCCGACCCGCACGAAAGGCGUAACGAUUUGGGCACUGUCUCAACGAGAGGCUCGGUGAAAUUUUAGUACCUGUGAAGAUGCAGGUUACCCGCGACAGGACGGAAAGACCCCAUGGAGCUUUACUGCAGUUUGAUAUUGAGUGUUUGUACCACAUGUACAGGAUAGGUAGGAGCCGUAGAAGUCGGGACGCUAGUUUCGACAGAGGCGCUGGUGGGAUACUACCCUUGUGUUAUGACCACUCUAACCCGCACCACUGAUCGUGGUGGGAGACAGUGUCAGAUGGGCAGUUUGACUGGGGCGGUCGCCUCCUAAAGAGUAACGGAGGCGCCCAAAGGUUCCCUCAGAAUGGUUGGAAAUCAUUCGCAGAGUGUAAAGGCACAAGGGAGCUUGACUGCGAGACCUACAAGUCGAGCAGGGACGAAAGUCGGGCUUAGUGAUCCGGUGGUUCCGCAUGGAAGGGCCAUCGCUCAACGGAUAAAAGCUACCCUGGGGAUAACAGGCUUAUCUCCCCCAAGAGUCCACAUCGACGGGGAGGUUUGGCACCUCGAUGUCGGCUCGUCGCAUCCUGGGGCUGUAGUCGGUCCCAAGGGUUGGGCUGUUCGCCCAUUAAAGCGGCACGCGAGCUGGGUUCAGAACGUCGUGAGACAGUUCGGUCCCUAUCCGUCGCGGGCGUUGGAAAUUUGAGAGGAUCUGUCCUUAGUACGAGAGGACCGGGAUGGACUUACCGCUGGUGUACCAGUUGUCUCGCCAGAGGCAUCGCUGGGUAGCUAUGUAGGGAAGGGAUAAACGCUGAAAGCAUCUAAGUGUGAAGCCCACCUCAAGAUGAGAUUUCCCAUUUCUUUAAGAAAGUAAGAUCCCUGAGAGAUGAUCAGGUAGAUAGGUCAGAAGUGGAAGUGCAGUGAUGUACGGAGCGGACUGAUACUAAUCGAUCGAGGACUUAACCAA